UCCUGUGCAUGUGUGUUUUUUUUUCUUUUCUUUUUCUUAUGUGUCAUAAUUUUUAUUCUUUUCACUAACAUGUGGAAGCUGAAAAUCCUGUGGAAAUGGUUCUUGUGAUGACUAUAAAGCCUGGAUUUGGAAGAAAAAAAUUUAUGCCCGAGAUGAUGGAUAAAGUACAUAUACUUAGGAAAAAGUAUCCAUCACUUGACGUAGAGGUGAAAUUCUACCUCCAAAACCCCUUAGCCAAUUUCUUUGGGGGAUUGAAUGGAUAUUAAAUCCAUGGAGAUCCCAAGUGCUUUGGAAAAGUAUACCAUAAAAAGAGUAAAAACACCAAAGGAGAGGACUAACCUAGUUUGUUCCUUGUGAAGUGUAGCCGAAUUGGAGGAGUUGAAGACUUAACCUUAUUUUUGCUUAUUUCUUGUUCAAUUUCUUUUAGGCCACUUGUAUUUGGGCCUUGUUUCUUUUAUUUUAGGUUGUAAUUUGGCCUCUUGAAACCUCAUAGUCUUAGGGUUACGUUUAUCAAAUUGAGAAUCUACCAAACGAUUAUAACCUUUUUUCGUGUUAUGUUUCCUUUUUUUCAA
Non-coding RNA from Cajanus cajan (pigeon pea), 572 nucleotides. The record is from RefSeq and is a predicted model, not a curated record. NCBI's taxonomy places the organism in Eukaryota, Viridiplantae, Streptophyta, Magnoliopsida, Fabales, Fabaceae.